AUUGAACGCUGGCGGCAUGCCUUACACAUGCAAGUCGAACGGUAACAGGUCUUCGGAUGCUGACGAGUGGCGAACGGGUGAGUAAUACAUCGGAACGUGCCCGAGAGUGGGGGAUAACGAAGCGAAAGCUUUGCUAAUACCGCCUACGAUCCCAGGAUGAAAGCAGGGGACCGCAAGGCCUUGCGCUCACGGAGCGGCCGAUGGCAGAGUAGGUAGUUGGUGGGAUAAAAGUUUACCAAGCCGACGGUCUGUAGCUGGUCUGAGAGGACGACCAGCCACAAUGGGACUGAGACACGGCCCAGACUCCUACGGGAGGCAGCAGUGGGGAAUUUUGGACAAUGGGCGCAAGCCUGAUCCAGCCAUGCCGCGUGCAGGAUGAAGGCCUUCGGGUUGUAAACUGCUUUUGUACGGAACGAAAAGACUCUGGUUAAUACCUGGGGUCCAUGACGGUACCGUAAGAAUAAGCACCGGCUAACUACGUGCCAGCCGCCGCCGUAA
RNAcentral lists this ribosomal RNA (498 nucleotides) under uncultured bacterium. RNAcentral's name for it is "partial 16S ribosomal RNA". It matches the Rfam family "Bacterial small subunit ribosomal RNA", at positions 30 to 523 of the family's 1533-position model. The record is from RNAcentral.